AUGCAAGUCGAGCGGAGUUUAUCCUUCGGGGUAAACUUAGCGGCGGACGGGUGAGUAACACGUAGGCAACCUACCCUCUAGACUGGGAUAACUACCGGAAACGGUAGCUAAUACCGGAUAAUUCCUUGACCCACCUGGGAUAAGGAUGAAAGGCGGAGCAAUCUGCUGCUAGAGGAUGGGCCUGCGGCGCAUUAGCUAGUUGGUGGGGUAACGGCCUACCAAGGCGACGAUGCGUAGCCGACCUGAGAGGGUGAACGGCCACACUGGGACUGAGACACGGCCCAGACUCCUACGGGAGGCAGCAGUAGGGAAUCUUCCGCAAUGGGCGAAAGCCUGACGGAGCAACGCCGCGUGAGUGAUGAAGGUUUUCGGAUCGUAAAGCUCUGUUGCCAGGGAAGAACGUCCGGUAGAGUAACUGCUGCCGGAGUGACGGUACCUGAGAAGAAAGCCCCGGCUAACUACGUGCCAGCAGCCGCGGUAAUACGUAGGGGGCAAGCGUUGUCCGGAAUUAUUGGGCGUAAAAGCGCGCGCAGGCGGCUGCUUAAGUCUGGUGUUUAAACCUUGGGCUCAACCUGGGGUCGCACUGGAAACUGGGCAGCUUGAGUACAGAAGAGGAAAGUGGAAUUUCACGUGUAGCGGUGAAAUGCGUAGAGAUGUGGGAGGAACACCAGUGGCGAAAGCGACUUUUCUGGGCUGUUACUGACGCUGAGGCGCGAAAGCGUGGGGGAGCAAACAGGAUUAGAUACCCUGGUAGUCCACGCCCGUAAACCAUGAGUGCUAGGUGGUAGGGGGUUCGAUACC
Molecule: ribosomal RNA, 801 nt
Filed under: Paenibacillus sonchi
Lineage: Bacteria; Bacillati; Bacillota; Bacilli; Caryophanales; Paenibacillaceae
Description: bacterial SSU rRNA
Rfam family: Bacterial small subunit ribosomal RNA
Source: RNAcentral